RNAcentral lists this ribosomal RNA (1670 nucleotides) under Rhodeus uyekii. RNAcentral describes it as "16S ribosomal RNA". The stretch from base 90 to 1590 matches the Rfam family "Bacterial large subunit ribosomal RNA". The record is from RNAcentral. Lineage: Eukaryota; Metazoa; Chordata; Actinopteri; Cypriniformes; Acheilognathidae.
GCUAAACAGCUAGCUCUACCACCUAGACACCUCACAAUAUAGUAAUGAAUUACAACAUAAAUGUAUAAACUAAAUCAUUCUUUUACCUAAGUAUGGGAGACAGAAAAGGUUAAAACCUGAAGCAAUAGAAAAAGUACCGCAAGGGAAAGCUGAAAGAGAAAUGAAAUAGCCCAUUAAAGCGAAAAGAAGCAAAGAUUAAACCCUGUACCUUUUGCAUCAUGAUUUAACAAGUAUGCCCAAGCAAAGAGCCCUUUAGUUUGGAGCCCCGAAACCAAGUGAGCUACCCCGAGACAGCCUGCACAAGGUAGGGCAAACCCGUCUCUGUGGCAAAAGAGUGGGAAGAACUCCGGGUAGAAGUGAUAGACCUACCGAACUUGGUGAUAGCUGGUUGCUUAAGAAAUGGAUAGAAGUUCAGCCCCAUCCUCCUCAAACCAAGUACAUUUUUAUUAACGGCUAAGAGCAAGACACGGGAGUUAGUUAAAGGGGGUACAGCCCCCUUAACAAAGGACACAACCUUCUCAGGAGACUAAAGAUCAUAAUACGCAAGACUCACCGUUUUAGUAGGCCCAAAAGCAGCCAUCUGGACAGAAAGCGUUAAAGCUCAAACGGACAAAAGUUUAUUAUACCGAUAAUUAAAUCUUAUUUCCCUAGAAUUAUUAAGCUAAUCCAUGCCUUCAUGGAAGAAAUUAUGCUAAAAUGAGUAACAAGAAGACCCGCCCUUCUCCCAGCACAAGUGUAAAUCAGAUUGGACAACCCACUGAAAAUUAACGAGCCCAAACCAAGAGGGUAAUGUGUAUAACAUGGAAACCAGGAAAACCCCACAAUUUAAACAUCGUUAAACCCACACUGGAGUGCAUCUCAAGGGAAAGACUAAAAGGAGAGGAAGGAACUCGGCAAACACAAGCCUCGCCUGUUUACCAAAAACAUCGCCUCCUGCAACUUUCCAUGUAUAGGAGGUCCAGCCUGCCCAGUGACUACGGGUUCAACGGCCGCGGUAUUUUGACCGUGCAAAGGUAGCGCAAUCACUUGUCUUUUAAAUAAAGACCUGUAUGAAUGGCCAAACGAGGGCUUAGCUGUCUCCCCCUCCAAGUCAGUGAAAUUGAUUUACCCGUGCAGAAGCGGGUAUAAUACUACAAGACGAGAAGACCCUUUGGAGCUUAAGGUACAAGGCUGGGCCACGUCAAACAACUUAAUAAAGAGAUAAGAACUUAGUGGAGCAAACAGUCUUACCUUCGGUUGGGGCGACCACGGAGGAAAGACAAGCCUCCAAGAGGAUAGGGCCGGCACCCUAAAGCUAAGAGGGACACCUCUAAGCCGCAGAACAUCUGACCGAUAAUGAUCCGGCAUAAAGCUGACCAACGGACCAAGUUACCCUAGGGAUAACAGCGCAAUCCUCUCCCAGAGUUCAUAUCGACGAGGGGGUUUACGACCUCGAUGUGGAUCAGGACAUCCCAAUGGUGCAAAGGGCACUAGUGAUUCGAUUAAAGUCCUACGUGAUCUGAGUUCAGACCGGAGCAAUCCAGGUCAGUUUCUAUCUGUAACGCUACUUUUCCUAGUACGAAAGGAUCGGAGAAGGGGGGCCCAUGCUUUAAGCACGCCCCGCCCCUAAUUGAUGAAAAAAGAUAAAGUAAACGAAGGGAGGGCAAAACCCCAACCGCCAAGAUAAGGCG